This 28-nucleotide non-coding RNA is filed under the name Homo sapiens (human). Lineage: Eukaryota; Metazoa; Chordata; Mammalia; Primates; Hominidae. The record is from RNAcentral.
CAUCCUGGUCCCAUUAAAUCCUCUUAAU